AUGGAUCCUAGCUACUGUCGCAGAUCAAAAAGUGAGGAUGAGUUUGCUCUUUUUGUUCUUCCUACUUUAGGAGAACACUCAUAUUCCUCAAGGAGACCUAUGCACACUUCAAUACUCACAGGCGCACGACGUGUAAAUGAAAUUUUAAAUGGACAUGAAGACCUAUGCAAAAGGCACUUCAGAAUGGAGACUGAUAUAUUUCAAGCUUUGGUUCAGAAAUUGCGCGAGAAUGAUCGCCUUGUUGAUGGAAGAGAUGUCUCAGUAGAAGAACAAGUGGCUAUAUUUUUGUAUGCAUUAUCUAAGAAUGCAACAAAUGAUACUUUGGCAGAUUGGUUUCAGCAUAGUGGACAAACAAUCAGUUACUAUUUUGGUGAAGUGCUCAGUGCAAUUACUGAACUCUAUUCUGUAUACAUACGUCCACCUUCCCUACACCCGCAUCCAAUCUUGAGUAAAGAAAAGUUCUACCCUUUCUUUAUGGAUUGCAUCGGCGCUAUAGAUGGUACACAUAUUCCAUUGAAACUACCUGCUGAUGAGCAAGAACCAUAUCGCAAUAGGAAGCAAACAUUGUCGCAAAAUGUUAUGGUAGCAUGUGAUUUUGAUCUGAAGUUUGUGCAUGUGCAUGCUGGUUGGGAGGGAUCGGCUUCAGAUGCAAGAGUCCUACAGGAUGCACUUAACCAUGGUUUUCAAGUACCCCCCGGAAAAUUUUACCUUGUAGAUGCUGGUUAUGCAAACACACCACAAUUUUUGGCUCCAUAUCGUGGUACUAGGUACCACUUACAAGAACAAGGAAGAGCUCGCCAAAGGCCAAGAAAUUACAAGGAAUUAUUCAACCUACGACAUGCACAACUCCGAAAUCAUAUCGAGAGGAUUAUUGGUAUACUAAAAAUGAGAUUUCUGAUAUUGAGAGUGGCUUCACAUUACUCGGUGACCAAACAAAUUGACAUAUCAGUUGCUAGUUGUGUGCUGCACAAUUUCAUAUGUUUGCAUGAUGGAGAUUUUUCAUGGCCUGAGAAUACUACUGUGGAGAUUGAUCAAGAACAAUUUGUUGAUGUGCCAAGUGGAGACCACAACUAUCAUAAUGAUAUACAUGCUUUUAAUUACUCUAGAGAAGCUGGGAAUCAAAAACGAGAUUAUAUAGCACAGCAAAUGUGGGCACAAUAUGUAUCACGAAGAUCUCAGAAUAUGUAA
This 1188-nucleotide ribosomal RNA is filed under the name Triticum aestivum (bread wheat). RNAcentral's name for it is "partial small subunit ribosomal RNA". Lineage: Eukaryota; Viridiplantae; Streptophyta; Magnoliopsida; Poales; Poaceae. The record is from RNAcentral.